UACGUAGGGUGCAAGCGUUGUCCGGAAUUAUUGGGCGUAAAGCGUCCGCAGGUGGCAAUGUAAGUCUGCUGUUAAAGAGUCUAGCUCAACUAGAUAAAAGCAGUGGAAACUACAUAGCUAGAGUACGUUCGGGGCAGAGGGAAUUCCUGGUGUAGCGGUGAAAUGCGUAGAGAUCAGGAAGAACACCAGUGGCGAAGGCGCUCUGCUAGGCCGUAACUGACACUGAGGGACGAAAGCUAGGGGAGCGAAUGGG
RNAcentral lists this ribosomal RNA (253 nucleotides) under uncultured bacterium. RNAcentral's name for it is "partial 16S ribosomal RNA". It matches the Rfam family "Bacterial small subunit ribosomal RNA", at positions 524 to 776 of the family's 1533-position model. The record is from RNAcentral.